GAGAGCCUAGUAAACACAUUACAUGACUUUGUCGUAGUCAAAUCACAGCACCUGUGGCUCUCA
This 63-nucleotide transfer RNA is filed under the name Ovophis okinavensis (himehabu). Its description in RNAcentral is "tRNA-Asp". The record is from RNAcentral. Lineage: Eukaryota; Metazoa; Chordata; Lepidosauria; Squamata; Viperidae.